UUUUUUUCAAUUUGUUGAAUUAGAUAUAAAUAUAUCAGUUAUUAAAUUUUCUUACGUUUGUCAGAUAGUUUAAUAGAAAAUGAAUGAAAAGAUCGUAUGAUUGUAUUUUUUUUUAGAUCAUGUCAAAUGCUUAGCAUUCAGUGGCGUAGCUAGGUCAUUUUUACGUGUACGCCCGAACCUCGGUGCGGGGCCUGAAGGCCCAAGCGGGUCCAGGCCAAAUAACCUGCUGGUAGUGGAUUAGCAGAGGCGAAGCCUCCGGAAGUUUAAGAGUUAUCGAGAAUGACAUAGAAUUCCUCUCAUUGAAAACUGAUCAAUAACAACAUUCUUUAGAUUCAAAAUGUUUUUUUUUCUUUAUGUUUAAUCUAUUCAUUGUGUUUAUUUAGAAUCUAAUGACUCUCAUUGGCUUAACUUGGAGUAAACGUCCAAACCAGUUACUUUAAAAUACGAUGAAAGGGAACCGUGGGGUAAAGCACUCAAUUCACAAAGCACAUUUUUAUGUGCAAAUGUCGUAAUAAACACGAAAUAAUUAAUUUUCUGAGUUGUUCAGGUGCAAUACUAAAAAGAGAAGGCCCAGUAACGUUAGACCCCUUUUUGGCCCCAAAAUAUAGCAGUUUUACAAAAUUGUUAAAAUAUAUUUUUUUUAGCUGUUUAAUGGAAAGUACAUUUGUAGAAUAAUUCUGUUACAUAAAUAUUGGCUGUUUUUGACAAUACAAUGCACAUGUAUCGGGUAUUAGCAUAAUAAAGUCAUGGCGCUAAAUUACCAAAUCUUUGAAAUGGAAGUGACCG
This 786-nucleotide long non-coding RNA is filed under the name Mytilus galloprovincialis (Mediterranean mussel). Lineage: Eukaryota; Metazoa; Mollusca; Bivalvia; Mytilida; Mytilidae. The record is from RNAcentral.